Molecule: ribosomal RNA, 920 nt
Filed under: Arthrobacter sp.
Lineage: Bacteria; Bacillati; Actinomycetota; Actinomycetes; Micrococcales; Micrococcaceae
Description: bacterial SSU rRNA
Rfam family: Bacterial small subunit ribosomal RNA
Source: RNAcentral
UUAUUGGGCGUAAAGAGCUCGUAGGCGGUUUGUCGCGUCUGCCGUGAAAGUCCGGGGCUCAACUCCGGAUCUGCGGUGGGUACGGGCAGACUAGAGUGAUGUAGGGGAGACUGGAAUUCCUGGUGUAGCGGUGAAAUGCGCAGAUAUCAGGAGGAACACCGAUGGCGAAGGCAGGUCUCUGGGCAUUAACUGACGCUGAGGAGCGAAAGCAUGGGGAGCGAACAGGAUUAGAUACCCUGGUAGUCCAUGCCGUAAACGUUGGGCACUAGGUGUGGGGGACAUUCCACGUUUUCCGCGCCGUAGCUAACGCAUUAAGUGCCCCGCCUGGGGAGUACGGCCGCAAGGCUAAAACUCAAAGGAAUUGACGGGGGCCCGCACAAGCGGCGGAGCAUGCGGAUUAAUUCGAUGCAACGCGAAGAACCUUACCAAGGCUUGACAUGAACUAGUAAGGCGCAGAAAUGCGUCCCCCUCUUGAGGCUGGUUUACAGGUGGUGCAUGGUUGUCGUCAGCUCGUGUCGUGAGAUGUUGGGUUAAGUCCCGCAACGAGCGCAACCCUCGUUCUAUGUUGCCAGCACGUGAUGGUGGGGACUCAUAGGAGACUGCCGGGGUCAACUCGGAGGAAGGUGGGGACGACGUCAAAUCAUCAUGCCCCUUAUGUCUUGGGCUUCACGCAUGCUACAAUGGCCGGUACAAAGGGUUGCGAUACUGUGAGGUGGAGCUAAUCCCAAAAAGCCGGUCUCAGUUCGGAUUGGGGUCUGCAACUCGACCCCAUGAAGUCGGAGUCGCUAGUAAUCGCAGAUCAGCAACGCUGCGGUGAAUACGUUCCCGGGCCUUGUACACACCGCCCGUCAAGUCACGAAAGUUGGUAACACCCGAAGCCGGUGGCCUAACCCCUUGUGGGAGGGAGCUUCGAAGGUUUG